GAGACUGUUUCAAGGGAAGAUGAAUAGCA
Molecule: non-coding RNA, 29 nt
Filed under: Cricetulus griseus (Chinese hamster)
Lineage: Eukaryota; Metazoa; Chordata; Mammalia; Rodentia; Cricetidae
Source: RNAcentral